RNAcentral lists this ribosomal RNA (253 nucleotides) under uncultured bacterium. Its description in RNAcentral is "partial 16S ribosomal RNA". It matches the Rfam family "Bacterial small subunit ribosomal RNA", at positions 524 to 776 of the family's 1533-position model. The record is from RNAcentral.
UACGGAGGGGGCUAGCGUUAUUCGGAAUCAUUGGGCGUAAAGAGCGUGUAGGCGGUCCGGUAAGUCCGCUGUAAAAGUCAAGGGCUCAACCCUUGAAAGCCGGUGGAUACUGCCGGGCUAGAGUCCGGAAGAGGCGAGUGGAACUCCUGGUGUAGCGGUGAAAUGCGCAGAUAUCAGGAAGAACACCUACGGCGAAGGCAGCUCGCUGGGACGGUACUGACGCUGAGACGCGAAAGCGUGGGGAGCGAACAGG